UACGUAGGGUGCGAGCGUUAAUCGGAAUUACUGGGCGUAAAGCGCGCGUAGGCGGAUCCGUAAGUCGAUUGUGAAAUCCCUGGGCUUAACCUGGGACGUGCAGUCGAAACUACGGACCUUGAGUGCCUGAGAGGAUGGCGGAAUUCCCGGUGUAGUAGUGAAAUACGUAGAUAUUGGGAAGAACACCUGAGGCGAAGGCGGCUAUCUGGCGGUGCACUGACGCUGAGGCGCGAAAGCGUGGGGAGCGAACAGG
This 253-nucleotide ribosomal RNA is filed under the name uncultured prokaryote. RNAcentral's name for it is "partial 16S ribosomal RNA". It matches the Rfam family "Bacterial small subunit ribosomal RNA", at positions 524 to 776 of the family's 1533-position model. The record is from RNAcentral.